UCACUUCCAAACUUUCAUAUAUCUUUCUUUCAUUCUCUGAACAAUUUCAAACUUUAUCAUUUGCUACUGUCUAAAUUUCUUUCCUGCUCUCCUAUCCUAUAUCAUUUGUCUUAAACAAUUUGACCAGCUAGUGAAAAAAAAACUGAGUUGAGUACAUACCAUGUUGAGUAAUUGGAGAUCUACAACAAUUUUAUUAUUUAAUUACUGAUAUAACACAUUUUAAAAAAUGUAGAUAAACAUUUUAUUAAUUAUUUAGUACUAUUGCAAUAUUAAAAAAAAAAGAUUGAAAAAAUACACUGCUUCACUCUCUCUCUCCCAUUUCUCCAAUCUCUCUCAUGGAUUUCUUGCAAUCAUUCUUGUGAUCUCAAGCUCUCAUCAACAUCAGCAUGGAUAGGAUCUAAAUAUAUUUAUUGAUGAGAAGAGUGAAAGAAGAGGAGAAAAAAUUUAGCGGAGUGGAAGUGUUGGAACUCAAGGCCAAAGAUGCAAACUUUUGGAUUGGAAUGGUUAUGGGAAUAUUGUUGCUUAUGGAUAUUUCAUUUAAUAUUUUUGUCAUUUGGAAUUUUUGUUGUUGGAUGAUGAUUAUAGAGUGGAAGUGUUGGAACUCAAGGCCAAAGAUGCAAACUUUUGGAUUGGAAUGGUUCUGGGAAUAUUGUUGCUUAUGGAUAUUUCAAUGCAAAUGAUCCAAAAGAUUUACUUCUUGAUGUCCCUAUUAGACUGUUUGCCAUGAAGGUUGGUAUUGAUUUUGCAAGAGAGCCUGGUAUGCAUUUUUGUGGAGGCCUACUUCAGGAUAACUUGUAUUGAAGAAAGUGUAGGAAGUGUUAUUGCUUGGCCAGCCGAAAAAGUCAUAAUGAGGGAUAACUAGUAUCGAAAAUAGUGUUGGAAGUGUUACUGCUUGGCUCGCCGGUAAAGUUAUAAUGAGGUGAUGAAGACAGCAACGCGAGAAUUGGAUGCUUGCAAUUAAUAAAGAGAUAGUAUUGGACAAAUGUUACAAUUUGCCUUUUAUUAGACUCAUUAGACAUAUUAUUUCUAAGCAUAAACUUUUAUUAUGGUAUUUUGCACUUGGAAUUUUUUCAUUUGGGACACAUGUAUUGGAUAUUUUGGUUGAUAAAAAAAAUACAUUAGAC
Long non-coding RNA from Humulus lupulus (European hop), 1124 nucleotides. RefSeq lists it as uncharacterized. NCBI's taxonomy places the organism in Eukaryota, Viridiplantae, Streptophyta, Magnoliopsida, Rosales, Cannabaceae. The transcript is spliced from 5 exons. The record is from RefSeq and is a predicted model, not a curated record.